This is a long non-coding RNA of Phalaenopsis equestris, 615 nucleotides long. RefSeq lists it as uncharacterized. Lineage: Eukaryota; Viridiplantae; Streptophyta; Magnoliopsida; Asparagales; Orchidaceae. The transcript is spliced from 3 exons. The record is from RefSeq and is a predicted model, not a curated record.
AAAAAUUUUCUAUUUCGUUUAAUGUUAGAUUGUAACAAACAUUCUUUGUUAACGAUGCAGACAUGAUAUCAUCCUAAGCAGGGAGACAGGCGUACUGGAGCAUGGUGCACUUGAGGAUAUAUUAAUGAAUCGGUGGUUCGGGAAUAAACAUGUCUAUGUUGGCUGAAAGAAGGAAAUGAUCACUUGAAAUAUAUAAAAAAUACAUAUAUGUGUCCCCACUGUAUAUGGAUUAACUGAGGGCAUUACAAAGGAAGCAGUUAAAGAUAAUGACCUCAUUUUAUUUCUUAUAAUUGAUCGUCAGCAUUGGAUUUUGUUAGUAGGGGAGUUGAGAGGAAGAAAAUGGAAAAUAUAUGACUCACUGCCUAACCCGAUGCAUAAAGCAGUUGUUGUAGAACUUAUCAAACAUUUUGCCAAUAAUAUUGAAGGAGUAUUUCAAACUGACAUAAAAAAAUGACAAAUGUCAUGUCCUCGAAAUGUUCCGACCCAAAGUAACAGCCACGACUACGGCAUUUUUGUAUGUAAGUAUAUGGAAGUCUUAGUACAAGUUGGUACAAUCGAAUGAAAACAACACUCAAACUGGCAAGUUAUGGUACAAUUUAGGGCGCAGUUCGCAUA